AACUAUUGGAAACGAUAGCUAAUACCGCAUAACAGUAUGUAACACAUGUUAGAUGCUUGAAAGAUGCAAUUGCAUCGCUAGUAGAUGGACCUGCGUUGUAUUAGCUAGUAGGUAGGGUAAAGGCCUACCUAGGCAACGAUACAUAGCCGACCUGAGAGGGUGAUCGGCCACACUGGGACUGAGACACGGCCCAGACUCCUACGGGAGGCAGCAGUAGGGAAUCUUCGGCAAUGGGGGGAACCCUGACCGAGCAACGCCGCGUGAGUGAAGAAGGUUUUCGGAUCGUAAAGCUCUGCUGUUAAGGAAGAACGAGUGUGAGAAUGGAAAGUUCAUACUGUGACGGUACUUAACCAGAAAGGGACGGCUAACUACGUGCCAGCAGCCGCGGUAAUACGUAGGUCCCGAGCGUUGUCCGGAUUUAUUGGGCGUAAAGCGAGCGCAGGCGGUUAGAAAAGUCUGAAGUGAAAGGCAGUGGCUCAACCAUUGUAGGCUUUGGAAACUGUUUAACUUGAGUGCAGAAGGGGAGAGUGGAAUUCCAUGUGUAGCGGUGAAAUGCGU
RNAcentral lists this ribosomal RNA (558 nucleotides) under uncultured Bacilli bacterium. Its description in RNAcentral is "bacterial SSU rRNA". It matches the Rfam family "Bacterial small subunit ribosomal RNA", at positions 145 to 691 of the family's 1533-position model. The record is from RNAcentral. Lineage: Bacteria; Bacillati; Bacillota; Bacilli.